UACUUGAAUAUUAAGAGUUAUGAGCUUUAAAUUCAGAGAAUUUGGCGGUAUUUUAGUCUUGUUAGAGGAACCUGUUCUGUAAGCGAUACUACACGUAGAAUCUUACUUACUUUUGUUUUUCAGCUUGUAUACCGUCAUUAUUAGAUAACCCUUAUUGGGUUAGUUAUUGAACUAUAAAAAAUUAAAUAUAUUAGAUCAAGGUGCAGUUAAUGGGUAAGAAGAAAUGGGUUACAUUGAAAUUUAUUUAGACGAAUUGGUAGUUGAAAGGUUUCUAUGAAGGAGGAUUUAAUUGUAACAUAAGUUUAAUAAGUUUAUGUGGUAUGAGAACUAAAAUAUGUACACAUACGCCCG
RNAcentral lists this ribosomal RNA (351 nucleotides) under Cherax quinquecarinatus. RNAcentral's name for it is "partial 12S ribosomal RNA". Lineage: Eukaryota; Metazoa; Arthropoda; Malacostraca; Decapoda; Parastacidae. The record is from RNAcentral.